Molecule: long non-coding RNA, 4013 nt
Organism: Camelus dromedarius (Arabian camel)
Lineage: Eukaryota; Metazoa; Chordata; Mammalia; Artiodactyla; Camelidae
Exons: 3
Source: RefSeq, a predicted model, not a curated record
UACUGAUAAUACCAGCUUUAACUACUGGAGUUUCCCUUUGAACAAAUAUUCAAUUUAACCGGAGUUAAUUUACCAUAAAAGACAUUCCCCUUGGCACGAAUGCACUCCUGUCCUUGAACACACCUCUUUGAAUGCCUGGACUCUUACAGAAGCCAUUAUUUCGGGGUCUCUUUAAAAAUCAAGCGCCCAUCUCUCUUUCUCUCCCUCCCUCCCUUCUUCCCUCCCUCCUCACCACACCACCCCCAGUGAAAUCCUGGCACCCAGAGAGCGCUCCGUUCAGCCAGAGAUCCCAGAACCAGCCGCUGUCCCCUGGCAAAAGAGGCCCAGAGCUGAGCAAGUGUGUGCAGACGUUGCUACCCCUCCUCCUUUAUUGGUUUCCCUUACCAACAGAAACACGGUAUCCUUUUGCCACCAAAACUAGGUUGUAUCCAAAAGUUUUUCACAAGCUUAAAAGAGAAAAAAGAAAAAUUGACAACUCUCACACAGAAGAGCCCACCAAAGCCGCAGCAGCGCCAGGGGUGAAGAAACAGCGACAGACCCAGCAUCAGAAAAGGAGGUGUGCGUUCUAUCAAGCAAAGGGGAAACGCAUUCGCAGUGAUGGAGAGCCACCACUGAAGCUCUUGGUACCUCACAAGCAGAGCCGUAUGAGUCUGCCGUUAAAGGAAGUACUUCAAAGAGAGGGCUCAGGAGAACGUAGAACGCAGCGCGGAAAAUGGCACAUCUUCACAUCACGCGUAACUUCCCGCACAUUUAUUAUGUCCCCGCAAAGGCACCCUUAAAGCAUCUCCCCCUGGCAGAAGCUACCUAGCAAACAAUGAAUGACAACUGUUUGUUCAGACAGCCUGGGAACUCCUGAGGCCUUUUAUGGAAGGAUGAAGGAACUUGGAUUCCGAGUGGGACUAGGAGGACGGAGCCACUGAAAGAAGAGAGAAGCAGAAGACAAGGAAGCAGAGUAAUCCUCCUAGAGUUGAUGCUGUCUGUCACUGUGGCGUACAAGGGAGACGGUCAGAUGGAGUUCUGCCUGAGAAACGCCAUCUCACCUGGACCACCCCUGCCUGGAACCCCGUGCCAGAACACUGAGUCAUGGCGGAUUGCACAAUGGAAGUGGUACCAUCUGAGCGGAGCCUGGGGUUUUCCUCGUUAGCUCUAAUCCACACAACUAUGCUGCAGAGAAGGCUUUCCCAUCCCUGCUUCUCACAGCAGGAAUCUUAGUAACUCACACGAAGCCCACACAGCCAGGAAGGGGCAGGGCAGGGACUCAAACCUGGGAUGGGAGAGCCGGGUGCUCCCACCAGCCCACCUGUUCUGUCCCCACAUCACCCAGCUCUCUGCCGCACUGGGGCCCGGGCUCCCCCUGGGAUUUCCUCACUGGGGCCACCUGGAUUUCUGUCCUCUAGGUUAGCAGAGCACCUGCAGAGUGGAUCCCUUUUCAGCAGCUCUGGGUAGAAACUGCAGCAGUGGUUUAACACUCCCUGACAGGGCAAGUCUCAUUGCAUCUGUGGCCACCUCUGACUAGCCCACAACAUCCAGUUUACAUCAAUUUAUGUUCAUGUUUCCUUUUGCUGGGGGGGAGGGCACAUCUUUGCCCUUUGCCCUCUUCCCUGUCACUUUUAUUUCUGGCCUGUACCUUCUUCUCCUUGUUUUUUUUUUAAAAACCCAUGGACCUCAGCCCUCAAUUCCAACAUGUUUUUAUGACUAAAACCCACUUAUGAGCAGGAGGUUGUCACAUCAGUGCUUAAGGGGGUGUGGAAAUUGUUAUAACUAGCACUGUGCAAUAGAAUAAUCUACAAUGAUGGAAAUACUCUAUAAUCUGCAGUGUCUCAGACAGUAGCCACUUGAAAUGUGACUCAUGAGACUGAAGAACUGAAUUUUAAAUGUGGUUGAACUUUAAUUUUAACUUAAACAGCCACAUGUAACCAGAGGCUACUGUCCUGAACAGCACAGGCCGGGCAUCCAAGGAAAGUUGGAAGAUGGCUCCAUUUCUGCAUAUUUCAGAAUCCUAGGUCAUGCCUGGGGCUCACAUCUUACUGCUGGGAAGCCCCUGGAAGGGCUAUUUCACUGAUAGGAAGUCCCCAAGGGUCGAGAGUCUUGUUUAAAAGUAAAGAUCUAGGUUGGCUUAGAGCUGGACAUGGGAAGGGGAGUAGAAGCAGAUCCAGUUGGGGCUAGAAUAGUCUAUGGGAUGGGAGAUGGAGUCAAACUAUAGAGGGAAACAUACAGGACAAAGCCCUUGACUUCUACACUUGACUAGCUGUGUGAUCUGGGGCAAGUUACCUACCCUCUCUGAGCCUUGGAUUCCUUAUCUGUGAAAUAGAGAAUAAUAUACUGAUAAUGAUAAAAAAUACCUCUUUGUGCAUCUUCUAGAUUUGACGUAGGCACACUAUUGUGGUUGUAAAGAGCCUUUUGUAAACUGUUACCUCUCUAUAAAUAGCUAUUAUCAUUAUUUUGGACCAAUGGCUGGAAGAUCUAGAAAAGUCGUAGACACGCAAGGUGAGAAUACAUCCAGGCAGCUGAUAUGGCUUUGUGACUGGUAGCAAGUGAAUCCUAGUAGACAAGGGAUGUUAUAUGAGCACAGGAGAGAAAAUUUUUAUCCAGGGCUCAGGGAAGGUCAUUAAUAUCCUUGGGGUUCUGUGUGGUUGAGGGGACACCAGGCAGUAAGAGAGCCCCGUAGAAGUGUGGCUCCACUAGAAUGUAGGCUCCCAAAGGUCGAGACAGCGAGACAGCAGAACAGUGACUUGUGUGUAGCAGCCACUCAGUAAAUAUUUGGUGGAUGAAUAAAUAGAUAAAUAACUGUGAAGCAUCUUAAACCAUCCCAACCCAAUCUACUCACAAAAGGCAAUGAAAUAGUGGUGCCAAGACGUUGUACACAAAGCACCAGCCUUUUAUGUUUGCUUCAGCUGGAGAAAAAGCAAAAAACCUGAGCAUUUGCUCCCCCCCCCCCACCAUGGGCAGUUGAAAUAGGCUAUUGCAGUUUGUCUCUGACUAUGUAGUUCAUCUCCCCUAUUAAAAUCCAUGGUGUCUGAGGGCAGGGACAAAGGCACCUGGUGGCUAACAGUCACCCAGGAGAGUGUUUGAAUGAUCUUCCCGAAAGUGUUACAAUCUAGGAGAUACUUUCCAGAAGACAGUCCUUCCCAGUGCAAAGAAGAGGCUUCCUGAGGAGGAGAUGACUCACCACCCACCCCCUUCAGAGAACACAACAGGGAACCUGGAGUUUCUGUUCAAUUGCUGAGCACACUUGGGAGUGAUCCCAGAGAGAUCCCAUUUGUGGUUCCUGCUGAUCUGGAAGGCGACUUGACAGAACCACUCUUCCCACUAGAAUAUAAGCAGGUACUGGAAGGACAGGACCAUAUUUUGCUGGCCGCCGGGCCAUCCUGGAGCUGGGCACACAGGAGCCCUUCAGGAGGGAGCUGUUUGGGACAACCAACAUGGAAAAAAGUUUGGUAUUGUCUCGUAAGACGGGCACAGCGAUGCCACUCCUGGGUCUAAAUCUUCAAGAAGCUCUCGCAGAAGUGCAUUAGGUGGCGUGUGCCAGAAAGUUCAUAGCAGCACUGUGUGUAAGAGCCCCCACGUGGAACCACCCUGAGUGUCUCUCAAUAGGAUAAAAAAAAUUGUGAUUUAUUCCUCCUGUAGAAUUCUGCAUCCAAACAGAGAUGAUUGGCAUAAAUGCACUGCAGCUGGCAUACUGCAGAAAUGCAUCCAAAAAAAAAAAAAAAAAGAGUCAAAGUCCAGAAAAGUAAAAGCAAGCAAGAAAAAGAAGAGGCAGUAGAAGAUUCUGCAGACUGGGCUGCCCUGGUGAUACUAGAUGUCUUAACGUGCUAUUUUCGGGGUCUGGGCAUAUGGAAGCUUCCCAAGAUGCACAACUUGGAAAGAAGCAACAGAGAUACCAGCUCAGCCUGAGGCUCAAUAAAACAAUGUGGAACUCUUAAGAAGAGGAUUAGUAGGCAAGAGGAAGAUGACAAAAAUUGAAAACAAAAGAUAACAGGCUCACUCCGUCCUUGAAACUCUUCCUAACAGCU